GUGCUUGCUUCAGCAGCACAUAUACUAAAAUUGGAACAAUACAGAGAAGAUCAGCAUGGCCCCUGUAAAGAUGACACACACAUUCUUGAAGCGUUCCAUAUUUUG
Molecule: small nuclear RNA, 105 nt
Organism: Nomascus leucogenys (northern white-cheeked gibbon)
Lineage: Eukaryota; Metazoa; Chordata; Mammalia; Primates; Hylobatidae
Source: Ensembl